GAUGAACGCUGGCGGCGUGCCUAAUACAUGCAAGUCGAGCGAACGGACGAGAAGCUUGCUUCUCUGAUGUUAGCGGCGGACGGGUGAGUAACACGUGGAUAACCUACCUAUAAGACUGGGAUAACUUCGGGAAACCGGAGCUAAUACCGGAUGAUAUUUUGAACCGCAUGGUUCAAAAGUGAAAGACGGUCUUGCUGUCACUUGUAGAUGGAUCCGCGCUGCAUUAGCUAGUUGGUAAGGUAACGGCUUACCAAGGCAACGAUGCAUAGCCGACCUGAGAGGGUCAUCGGCCACACUGGAACUGAGACACGGUCCAGACUCCUACGGGAGGCAGCAGUAGGGAAUCUUCCGCAAUGGGCGAAAGCCUGACGGAGCAACGCCGCGUGAGUGAUGAAGGUCUUCGGAUCGUAAAACUCUGUUAUUAGGGAAGAACAUAUGUGUAAGUAACUGUGCACAUCUUGACGGUACCUAAUCAGAAAGCCACGGCUAACUACGUG
Molecule: ribosomal RNA, 497 nt
Filed under: uncultured bacterium
Lineage: Bacteria
Description: partial 16S ribosomal RNA
Rfam family: Bacterial small subunit ribosomal RNA
Source: RNAcentral